GUGCUCGCUUCGGCAGCGCAUGUACUAAAAUUGAAAUGAUACAGAGAAGAUUAGCGUGGCCCCUGUGCGAGGAUGACAUGCAAAUUUGUGAAGUGUUCCGUAUUUUU
Molecule: small nuclear RNA, 107 nt
Filed under: Propithecus coquereli (Coquerel's sifaka)
Lineage: Eukaryota; Metazoa; Chordata; Mammalia; Primates; Indriidae
Source: RNAcentral